CCUACGGGAGGCAGCAGUGGGGAAUAUUGCGCAAUGGGCGAAAGCCUGACGCAGCGACGCCGCGUGAGGGAUGAAGGUCUUCGGAUCGUAAACCUCUGUCAGCAGGGAAGAACGGUCACUGUGCUAAUCAGCAGUGAAUUGACGGUACCUGCAAAGGAAGCACCGGCUAACUCCGUGCCAGCAGCCGCGGUAAUACGGAGGGUGCGAGCGUUAAUCGGAAUUACUGGGCGUAAAGCGCUCGUAGGCGGUAUGUCAAGUCAAGGGUGAAAUCCCCGCGCUCAACGUGGGAACUGCCUUUGAAACUGGCAAACUGGAGUGGGUGAGAGGAUAGUGGAAUUCCAGGUGUAGGAGUGAAAGCCGUAGAUAUCGGGAGGAACAUCAGUGGCGAAGGCGACUAUCUGGCACAUAACUGACGCUGAGGAGCGAAAGCGUGGGUAGCAAACAGGAUUAGAUACCCGGGUAGUC
RNAcentral lists this ribosomal RNA (465 nucleotides) under uncultured bacterium. RNAcentral describes it as "partial 16S ribosomal RNA". It matches the Rfam family "Bacterial small subunit ribosomal RNA", at positions 338 to 795 of the family's 1533-position model. The record is from RNAcentral.